CCUACGGGAGGCAGCAGUGGGGAAUAUUGGACAAUGGGCGAAAGCCUGAUCCAGCAAUGCCGCGUGUGUGAAGAAGGCCUUCGGGUUGUAAAGCACUUUUGUCCGGAAAGAAAUCCUUGGCUCUAAUACAGUCGGGGGAUGACGGUACCGGAAGAAUAAGCACCGGCUAACUACGUGCCAGCAGCCGCGGUAAUACGUAGGGUGCGAGCGUUAAUCGGAAUUACUGGGCGUAAAGCGUGCGCAGGCGGUUUGGUAGGCCGGAGGUGAAAUCCCGGGGGCAAACCGGGAACUGCAGUGGUGACUGGCAGGCUAGAGUAUGGCAGAGGGGGGUAGAAUUCCACGUGUAGCAGUGAAAUGCGUAGAGAUGUGGAGGAAUACCGAUGGCGAAGGCAGCCCCCUGGGCCAAUACUGACGCUCAUGCACGAAAGCGUGGGGAGCAAACAGGAUUAGAUACCCUAGUAGUC
RNAcentral lists this ribosomal RNA (464 nucleotides) under uncultured Burkholderia sp. RNAcentral describes it as "bacterial SSU rRNA". It matches the Rfam family "Bacterial small subunit ribosomal RNA", at positions 338 to 795 of the family's 1533-position model. The record is from RNAcentral. Lineage: Bacteria; Pseudomonadati; Pseudomonadota; Betaproteobacteria; Burkholderiales; Burkholderiaceae.